UUCAUCCACACACACCUUUGUGCACUAUGGGGACGUCACGUCCCCCUUUUUCAUACCAAACACCUAGUUUACAUGCAUGUCUUUCAUAUACUCUAAGGAGUAAAUGUACAACUUUCAACAACGGAUCUCUUGGCUUUCGCAUCGAUGAAGAACGCAGCGAACGUGCGAAACGUAAUGUGAAUUGCAGAAUUCAGUGAAUCAUCGAAUCUUUGAACGCAUCUUGCGCUCCUUGGUAUUCCGAGGAGCAUGCCUGUUUGAGUGUCGUGAAAUACUCUCAAUUUCAAUCCUUUUGUUGGGUUUUGAAAUUGGAUUUGGGUGUUGUUGUGUUCACAACUCAUCCUAAAUGCAUUAGCGAUCUGCCUUUGAUCACACACAAUGUGAUAAGAAAAAGCAUUGUUAACAUCAAGUCAGGGUUGCUUCAAACCGUCCUUACGGACAAUCAUUCUAUGUCAUUUGACCUCAGAUCAGGCAGGACUACCCGCUGAACUUAAGCAUAUCAAUAAGCGGAGGAANAUCAUUACUGAAGAUAAUAGGAUUUUGAGACUGCGUCCAUUUGCGUGUGCUCGAUCCUUACUCUUUCAUCCACACACACCUUUGUGCACUAUGGGGACGUCACGUCCCCUUUUUCAUACCAAACACCUAGUUUACAUGCAUGUCUUUCAUAUACUCUAAAGAGUAAAUGUCACUUUCACAACGGAUCUCUUGGCUUUCGCAUCGAUGAAGAACGCAGCGAAGUGCGAAAGUAAUGUGAAUUGCAGAAUUCAGUGUAUCAUCGAAUCUUUUGAACGCAUCUUGCGCUCUUGGGUAUUCGAGGAGCAUGCCU
Molecule: ribosomal RNA, 823 nt
Filed under: Geastrum sp. KA12-1687
Lineage: Eukaryota; Fungi; Basidiomycota; Agaricomycetes; Geastrales; Geastraceae
Description: eukaryotic LSU rRNA
Rfam family: 5.8S ribosomal RNA (bases 110-264)
Source: RNAcentral